This 75-nucleotide transfer RNA is filed under the name Dermacentor andersoni. RNAcentral's name for it is "transfer RNA phenylalanine (anticodon AAA)". It matches the Rfam family "tRNA". Rfam says of the family: Transfer RNA (tRNA) molecules are approximately 80 nucleotides in length. Their secondary structure includes four short double-helical elements and three loops (D, anti-codon, and T loops). The record is from RNAcentral. Lineage: Eukaryota; Metazoa; Arthropoda; Arachnida; Ixodida; Ixodidae.
GCCUGGUUAGCUCAAAUGGUAGAGCGGCUGCCCCAAAAAGGCAGUGGUCCCGGGUUCGAGCCCCGGACCAGAACG